Molecule: ribosomal RNA, 292 nt
Filed under: uncultured prokaryote
Description: partial 16S ribosomal RNA
Rfam family: Bacterial small subunit ribosomal RNA
Source: RNAcentral
GUGCCAGCCGCCGCGGUAAUACAGAGGGUGCAAGCGUUAAUCGGAAUUACUGGGCGUAAAGCGAGCGUAGGUGGCUUAAUAAGUCAGAUGUGAAAGCCCCGGGCUUAACCUGGGAACGGCAUCUGAUACUGUUAGGCUAGAGUAGGUGAGAGGGAGGUAGAAUUUCAGGUGUAGCGGUGAAAUGCGUAGAGAUCUGAAGGAAUACCGAUGGCGGAGGCAGCCUCCUGGCAUCAUACUGACACUGAGGUUCGAAAGCGUGGGUAGCAAACAGGAUUAGAUACCCCAGUAGUCC